UACGUAUGGAGCAAGCGUUAUCCGGAUUUACUGGGUGUAAAGGGAGCGCAGGCGGCUUUGCAAGUCUGAUGUGAAAGGCCGGGGCUCAACCCCGGGACUGCAUUGGAAACUGUAAAGCUAGAGUGCCGGAGGGGUAAGCGGAAUUCCUAGUGUAGCGGUGAAAUGCGUAGAUAUUAGGAGGAACACCAGUGGCGAAGGCGGCUUACUGGACGGUAACUGACGCUAAGGCUCGAAAGCGUGGGGAGCAAACAGG
RNAcentral lists this ribosomal RNA (253 nucleotides) under uncultured bacterium. Its description in RNAcentral is "partial 16S ribosomal RNA". It matches the Rfam family "Bacterial small subunit ribosomal RNA", at positions 524 to 776 of the family's 1533-position model. The record is from RNAcentral.